Molecule: long non-coding RNA, 1614 nt
Organism: Cervus elaphus (red deer)
Lineage: Eukaryota; Metazoa; Chordata; Mammalia; Artiodactyla; Cervidae
Exons: 4
Source: RefSeq, a predicted model, not a curated record
UGAGCUUGGACCUGGUCAUAGCAGCCCAGACCCUGAGAGCACCCUGAGAGGCCUCUUUCUCACGACCUCUCACUACAGACAGGAAGGCUGCAAAUAUAGGGUGGGCUUGGCAAGGACACCGUCUUCACUGAACAAGGAUGCCGUGCUGUUACUGCUUUGGAGGUUUGAUGCAAUGGGCCCUUCAGAGGAGUGACUUUGGAAAAAGUCUCUAUACUUCAGUUUCCUCACCUCAUGGAAAAUCUUAAGUCCCCAAUCUGGGAUUGAACCUGCACCUCCUGCAUUGGAAAUGAUUCUCCAGGCAAGAAUACUGGAGUGGGUUGCCAUUUCCUUCUCCACCCCCAGAGGCCUAGUGCUCAUCAAAUGCUUGUUGACUGAAUUCCAGUUUUGCCACAGAGCUAUCCCCAACACCCAGGAGGGUGAUGAUGCUUCACCCUAACAGUGGCGCCUGCCUUCUUCCCAAAACAGCCUCCAAAGCUCCAAGCUGCGAACUGCGCCUUCACACCACCUUCUGUGGCUUUGGGAGUCAAGGGGAGAAUUCACAGUACUUUGGAAAACACAUUUUCUUUUAAGGAAGAAUUUUUUGUUUUCAUUUCAAACAGCGCUGGCUGGUGACGAGUGGUGAGGAGAGGUGCCCUGUUUUCCAUCCUCACGCCUAUUUCCAGGUGGGGGCAGGGAAGGCUCCAACCCGAAAUGUUAUUUCAAAACCUUUCCGAGCCUUGCAGCUCCAUUUCCAGGCCACAUGCCUCAAAGAAAAGCACAAUUUCCCAUUACGUCGUGUUUUGCCCUUUCUGGUCUGAGCACCUUUCAAAGGGGGACGACCCAGCCUGUUCCAACACUCCCUCCUGCCCCAUAAAUAAAGCUGCAUCGUGUAAUACAGGACGCCCGAUGGCCCCGCUCCCGAUAGGCAUGCUUGCCAAGAGCUGCAAGCUCACGCUGCUCCUCCCAGGCCCUCAAGAGAGAGAAGACAAAACUGAUGUGAAGUGAAUGCUCCCUGCCCACUCUCUGCCAUCUGAGGCACAUUCCUGAAAGGAGCAAGGCCAGCAAAGUCUUGUCAUCUGUCGGGGGUGUGAACAGUGGUAGAUGACGUGCUCCCUGCCAGGGAAGGCCACGUUCAGACACUCCCGGAUAGCCAGCUGCCACUUUAUUAACAGAAAAUAUCCCCAUCUGAACCAGGCUGGGAAAGAAAAUAUUUAUGCUCGCCUGUCAGGAGGACCUUCAUUUUUCUUCCAAGGGAGCCAGCCAGGGUGCUGGCCCAGGGAUGGAGGAAUGUAACAUGUCUGUGGGGCUGCUCCAAGAUCUUCUGUGGCCUGGGGUUGAUGGAAACUCCAGAAUAUCCUCAGGAGAGCUCUAGACAAGUACGAGGGGCUUCAGGAGGACUGGAUGGGGGAGCCCAAGAGAGGCAGAGUCAGGGCAAACAGAACACACCCUGGACCCUGUGAAGCUGUGAAUGAGAUAUCUGGGUGUGGAUGUGGGAGCUGCAGUUAGAGAUCCUGUCCAAAUGCACCUUGAAAUGACUCCAGUAUUGAUUAAAAACACGGAGCUACAUUAAUCUGAGGAGUGACUUUGUAUGAAGAAUAAAAUAAUCUUGCAUCGUUAGAAACUGUCAAUACAGGA